Non-coding RNA from Schistosoma rodhaini, 45 nucleotides. The record is from Rfam. Lineage: Eukaryota; Metazoa; Platyhelminthes; Trematoda; Strigeidida; Schistosomatidae.
AUACAGCUGAGCAGUCCCAAAAAGGACGAAAUGAGCAUCCUGGAU